CCUCGCGGGGCGGCGCGCGCCUGACAGCCGGGCCCUGAGGUGAGCAGGAAGCGGUGCUCGGCUCUUCCAGCCCAGAGGCCUGCAGCAGGGUGCCCGGGGGUGCUGCAAGCGCUGUGGGAGAUGUGUUGGGGUGCGCAUCCCUUGCAACACCCCCCUGCAGCGUUGACAGAUGUUACGAGGUCCCUUCCAGCCCUAAAGUCUACGAAACCGAACGAUUCGACACCUGUGCGAGCGGGCAGUCGUAAGGCGUUUGAAAAGACCGAGAUAACUCGCCACCUGGAUACAAGUGUGCAAGUUGACAUUGUAUACCUAGACUUCCAAAGGGCCUUUGAUCUGGUAUCCCAUGAUGUCUUCGCAAGAAAAUUGGAGAAUUUUGGCUUAACUCCCACAGUCGGGUGAGAAACUGGCUGCAGGAUACAACCCAGAGUCAUAGUGAAUGGACACAUGUCAUCUUGGUGAGAAGUGGGCAGCAGGGGUUGGUACUCAGUCCAGUACUUUUCAACAUCUUUAUUAAUGAUUUGGAUGUGGGGGUGAAGAGUACACUGGGCAGGUUCACAGAUGACACCAAGUUAUGGGAAAGCGUGGUCAUGCUUAAAGAUAGGCUCGUUACAGGCGGACCUAGACAGGCAAACAAGUUGGGCAGACUGGAAUCUGAUGAAGUUCAACGUUGAGAAAUGCAAAGUGCUCCACCUUGGGACAAACAACACACUACACACCUACAGGCUUGGCGGUACCAAACUGACCAGCACCACGAAUAAAAGGGACCUGGGGGUAAUAAUAGACCACAGAAUGAAUAUGAGCUGGCAGUGCGAUGCUGCAGCCAGUAGGGCAAAUAAGACUCUGCCAUGCAACAAUUGAUGCCUCUCCAGCAAAACCAAGGAGGCGAUUCUUCCGCUCUACAGCUGCGGUCUCACCAGUGCGGAGGAGUACUAUGUCCAGUUCUGGGCACCACACUUUAACAAGGACAAGCUCGAGAGAGUCCAAAGAAGAGCCAUCUGUAUGAUCAGUCUUAAAAGGCAAGCCAGAUGAGGAAAGGCUGCAACCGUUCACCAGGGCACCCGAGGGGAAAACCAUGAGUAAUGGCCACAACCUCCUGGAAGACUGAAGAAGUUUUUCCUAAUGUUGAGCCUGAAUCAGCUAGGCUGUCCAGACUGUGGAAUAAACUCCCUCCAGAUGUGGUGCAAUCACCUAGCCUGGAAAUCUUCAAGAGGAGACUGGACAGCCACCUCACCGGGGUCACCUGACCCCCAGUUGUCUUUUGUGCUUGGUGCAGGGACCUGGACACGAUGAUGUUCUGAGGUCCCUUUCAGCCUUACAAUCUGUGAAAUUGUCUUAAUUGGGCAGCCUUGUGUCCCUAACGAUAUUUCUUCUGCUAGAAUUUGAGCAAUUUAAAACGAGUCAUUCUUUAAAAAGGUGAAUUUUAUACAACAAAAUAGAGUUGAAAUGUCUAAGGCCUCCUUUACACAUGCAGGUGAAGGUGCAAUGGGAUCUAAUGUGUGAUCCACACAAUUGUGCCUGCUGCCUGCUACAUGUGUACGGCAGGAGGCACGAUUGUGGGAUCCAGCAUAAGAUCCCAUCACACCUUAUUGCUGGUAUGAGACAGUCCUAAAUCCUACCCCCCCUGCACUGGCAAAGAGUAAGCACCUGCGGCUGUGAGUCCCACAGCUGACACAGUUUGCAGCCCCAACUGUGUCCCACUUGGAGCUAUAAUCUCCAAGCUGCAGGGGUACAGGCUACACGUGCAAAUUUAUAGCUGGUUUUCAUCCAGCUUUAAGUUACUACACAUUUUCCAGCAAUAACUUUAUAACUGGUUGGUCCUUUUAAGGUGGCAUAGCUAAUGUGCACAUGUAGUCAAUCUAAAUUAAUGGUGCAAUUAAAUCAAGUAAUUGUGCAAUAGAUGCAAUGUGUAGAUGGGCCCAAGACAACAACAGCAGGUUCUAAGCAUUCGUCUCCAGUCAAAACUGAAAAGGAUUACCGUAAUAAGCAUGUCUCCUGAAUGCAUAACAUGGAGAAAUAUAUGAAUAAGAGCUCAUGUUUUUCCAUGACUUUUGAUGAAGCAGAAAACCUACUGUGAGUAAUCUAGAUGACCCACAACACUUCAAUAGCCACAAACUGUCAAUGCAUUUUUCUAACUUGGGUAAUGGAAAACGAAGAUGUAGUUAGCCAUCUUAGUCUCAAAUCAAGUGGAAAGCAGGGUAGAUUUGCACCUUACAGACUAACUAAAGUAAUAGAAAACAAGUCAGUUUGAAGCCUGAUUUUUUGUCUUUCUAGUUGAACAUAUUCAGCAUAACAAAAUGCCCAAAUAUGUAAUUAAAAUGUUUCUUUCUAAAAUUAGCCUGAAUAAUAAGUGCAAUGGCUAAAUAUUUAUGAGCCUUUGCUGACAGAUCAAAAGGACUCAAUUUCCCCAUGGAAGAAUGUUUAAUGAAUUAACAUGCAACUAAGCAGCCAAGCAAAGGGAAUUUUCACUGCUAGUGAAAACCCUAACCCUAGUCCCAGAAGUCAAAAUAAAAACUAUCAACCCCCUCCCUCCCCCCAGAAAAACUCCACCCUCUUCACCUUUUGCUUAUGAGUGGCUUAUUGGUACAGUAUUCAUAACAUUUCUUUGACUGGAAAAACAUACUUGCAGCCAAAGAUUACAGCAAAACAACCAGAACACACAAGCAACCUUAAAAAUAAUUUUCAACAAAACCAUAAAGGAACUUUAAAAGCAGAUGACCAGUCAUUGCUGGAACAGAUGGAAAUUCUCUAUUGCAAAAUAAAAGUGAGAAACUACUCCGGUGUGUGCACUUGAAAACGAGGACCAGACAGAAGUGCAGAGUAGAAGGACCUGGCACCUUCUAGUGAACACUGCAUACCCAAGUACCAACACUAGUGUGAAUGAGCUAAGUAAAGCUAGAAAUUUUGAUAAUAGCAUGAUCCAGUUGUACUCAGUGCAACUUGUCAGGUGUUUGGCUGUUGUGAUAGCUAUGAACUUGAUGCAUUCUAUAAAGACAAAAGGCUUUUAUAUUUAACAUUACAUCUUUUAAUUUUUUAAGUCAAAACCACAGGAAUGAUUCAUAAUGCAACAGUAAGUGGAAAAUGAGUUAGAAAUCCAGCUCAGGAUAUUUUCUGUCCCAUCAUAUAUUGUUUUAUUUUUAGAAAAUAAACCUGAAAUUACAACGAAAAGCCAAGACACCACUUUUGGAAGUGCAACACAAACACACCUGUCUAAUAUAUUGUUAUUAAAGCACAAAGAAAACUACCGAAUAUGCAAAAACAUUUAAUAAAAAAUUUAUUUUAAACUUAGCAUGAAUCAGUAAUCACAAGCGUUACAACAUAAGGUUUUACAGAAAUUUUUAAAAUUUCUUUUACAAUAAACAGGUCUUUCUCUACAUGCUAGCCCCAUUUUUAGUUUUGAAAAUAAUACUUAACAGGAAUAAGCAUUCAACUCUAAAAAGAAAACUUUGGCAUGUGUACAUCUAGUCAGUUAAAAGUAAACAGCGGAAGAUUUAAGUCAGGAAAAAAACCCCUCACGCUGAUUAGCUUCACAGCACUGUUAAAUCAGGGAUGUAACCCAUAAGCUACCUGCUAUUAAAUACAAAAGAACUUACUGAAGCCCAAAAAUGUUACGGGGCAAUCGGUGAUUCAGGGAGUUAAAAUGGCAGCCUUUUAACUCUACCGAUACCGAUUAGAAAACAGUUUAGGCCACAAGUGAACAUCAGUUUGGUGGUCACACCUUCUCCCCCCUUUAGUGGUUUGCUCACAUUGCUGGACUAUGCCACUUGGCAUAACUGGCAGGCUUCACUUGGAACUGGGACAAGCAAAGGUGUUUGUAGGUCGGGACUGAAGGGCACCUUUAGAGAAUGGGGAAUGUGAAUAGUGCCCACCAAGUCCAUCUUGGGUCUCUGUCACUACUAUUGGCCACCUACACAACUACCAAAAAUCUGAAGGGGGUUGUGGGGGUGGGGGGGAAGAAAGAGCAGGAAAGAUUUUGCAAGGCAUUUCUCCUCGACAUACAGUAGAUAGUGCAUCUGUAUUACAAUAAGAAUCCAGCGAAAACCCUAAAUUUCAAGAAAUUAUUCCUAAUUCCAUAAUGAUUACAAAAAGCACAGUAUGUGUGUAAUUUUGCAGAAAUACUGCAAUGAACAUAUUUUAUUACAGUACUAGUAAAAGACUAUGGACAGAUAGACUAUGGACAGAUAUCCUUGUAUUUCUAGAAGCAGAAAUGCAGGUCUUGAAAUUUAGAGAUUCUGCAGCAAAUAUAUUACUGCGCUGUAACAGACUGUGGCACAAUCAUGCACUUAUCUGACACUCCUGUACACAAUUCAAAAGAUGUUCUCCGGCAACUCAAUACACUUGGCAUCUUUUUUUUUUUUUUUUUUAAUAGUUCCUGCUAAAUGUUAGUGAUCCAAAACUGACUGACAACUGUAGGGGCACAAAUGGCAGAAGAGCAGUAUU
Alligator mississippiensis (American alligator) is the source of this 4437-nucleotide long non-coding RNA. RefSeq lists it as uncharacterized. The record is from RefSeq and is a predicted model, not a curated record. The transcript has 2 exons. Lineage: Eukaryota; Metazoa; Chordata; Crocodylia; Alligatoridae.